AUGGACAUGAGGGCGUCGACUUCGAAAACAGACAUGGUGGACGCUCUUCGUCGCUACCGUGAGACCCUGAGGUGGGAGACCAGUACGCUGAGGAGCGAGGCCACGUCCGGGGGCCUGGAGACGACCGCCGGAAAGAAGGAUUACCUAAAUCGUCAUCAUCCCGACGGGAGAUCACUAUCUCUCGAAUCACCUCAGCUGGUCGAGCACUUGUCCCUCCAGAACCAGAAAGUCGCGAGCCUGCCUCUGGUCACUUUGCCCUACCUCGUUGCAAAUCAAGAGGAGGCCCUCGCUCUGCUCUUGCACGAGGCGCUCAAGCUGGGCUACCGGGUCCAGUCUCUGAGGGAACUCGGUGUUCCAAUCCCCUUGGAGACGGUCAGAUUACUCUAUCUCCUGUCAAAAAGAUGCGCGGAGAUCUCCAGAAUCAUAGCGAGGCAUGGGUCACCCAAUUCAGGCAAAUCUAAUUCUCAGGAUGCUCCUGCAGUUUCGGCUUACAAAGAGCGCCGUGUCAGCUGGAACUCCAUUUGGGGCAGCCCCGUGUUAAGGUGUGGCGGCUUCAAUGACUUAACCACAUUGUCUCCUAUGUACUUUACCCCCUUUGCUCCUGGUAUCAUCCCAUACUCCGGCUUCGCCACCGAGGCAUUGCAGAUCUACUCCUUCAAAAUCUUUGAUCUAGAUGACAGCUUGAAGUGGCCACUCUAUGUGUACGGCGUAGUUGCUGCUCGAGACUUUGUGGAUGGUAACCGCAACCUUCUCUUCUCUCGCUCCAGGGCUAACUGCCAAGUACUCACUGAAAAGGAUCCUUUUUUGCACUUGACUGGCCCUUCCCGUGCUAUACUGUCCGAGUACCCUGUUGACUUUGAAGUUGAACUAAGGAUAAAAGAUGGAGCAGAGUCCCAAGAUAAAGCAUUGAUGAGUUCUACUAACCACCACCAUUUGGGUGGUGAUACUGCUCUUUUCUUUGGCUGCCUGUGUAGCGCAGAGAUGGGCCUUCAGACUAUUCGUAGUGCGGUCCAGGCCACUAUCUUGUCUGUUCGUGUUGUUGGAGGGGGAUUUCCUUUUGAAUUUGGCGUACAAGUUGCUUGUUCAUCGUCUACUGGACGUGUUAUUGCUGCUGCAUGUCGGCAAGUUGUGUUGCUUGAUUCUGUUGAAAAAUUUCCCCAAGAUGGACUAGAUGGUUACCUUCCUCUGUCAAGGAAUGUUGUUACUGUGGAAUCAAAAGGAUCGCUGAGGAUUAUCAUAAACGGCUAUUCAGAGUCUGGUAUUGUUGCUGACGAAGCCCGGCUUGAUUUCCCUGCUCAACAUUGCCAAAUAAGCACUCAAGAAUGUACUGUUGGCAAUUCUAAGCUGCAGGUUGUCAUUGCUUGGUCUCUACUUGUGAGGGACAAGCUCGACAACUUGGCGGAGGGGUACAUCUUCCCUCUGUGA
This 1425-nucleotide ribosomal RNA is filed under the name Triticum aestivum (bread wheat). RNAcentral describes it as "partial small subunit ribosomal RNA". Lineage: Eukaryota; Viridiplantae; Streptophyta; Magnoliopsida; Poales; Poaceae. The record is from RNAcentral.